This 576-nucleotide long non-coding RNA is filed under the name Fukomys damarensis (Damara mole-rat). RNAcentral's name for it is "lncRNA (ENSFDAG00000029695.1)". Lineage: Eukaryota; Metazoa; Chordata; Mammalia; Rodentia; Bathyergidae. The record is from RNAcentral.
GGUUUACUAUGGUUCAAAGGUUGUAGGCAUUUUAGCCUGCAGGCGGCUAGUUCCAUGGAAGGGCAGCAGGACAGAGGAGAAUCAAGCCAUGUCAUGGAAGCGGAAGCAGAGCGAGAGAAAAGUCAAGGGUGGCCGGAAGACAGGCCCUUCCAGGCCACGCCCCCAAAGAGCAUCUCCUCCUACCAAGGUUCCCCUCCCAACAUCACAGUGGGCUGCGAGCUCAUGUGUGGAUUCGUCCAGUGAUGAGGCCGCUACAUUCCGUGAACCAAUCGCCGCCCCAAAGCUUCAUCUAUGAGGGCAUGAGACUGAGGAGACAUCUAGAUACAAACCAGAGCACAGUAUUAGAUUCUAAGAUUUCGGGUAAGUGGUCUGGAAAGUCGGAUUUUUUAAAAUGUAGAUCUGGCAAUCAGUUUUUCACAUGGAAUUCUUACAAAGACGGUGAAGGAAGAAGACAGAAGCGACGAUGUGAGUGAGUGAACACCGCCAAAUUAGUACAGUAUGUACUUCUAAAGAUUUUUUAAUCUCCAUAUCUUACUGUAUUGUUAAACAAUAAUUAACAUCAUUUCAUGAAAAAAU